Esox lucius (northern pike) is the source of this 11394-nucleotide RNA transcript. RefSeq lists it as uncharacterized. The record is from RefSeq and is a predicted model, not a curated record. The transcript is spliced from 61 exons. Lineage: Eukaryota; Metazoa; Chordata; Actinopteri; Esociformes; Esocidae.
ACAUUUCCAUGCAGUUCAAGCCAGAACAAAUAACUUUUAAAUGUGCUAUCUUAACCAAGGGACCCCCUUGAAGGCAAAGAGAGCAUCACAACACAUCUCACCAGGACAAAAGCUAUUCAACUUUUGAUGGGAAUAUGAGGACGAAACCGGAAAUCACGCGAGGAGAGCGAGACAACUUUUAAAAUGUUGUUCCAGUAAAUGUGCAUGACAUUAUCAGCUCUGCAUGGACCGUCGGUAUGUAUUUCUUGAGGUAAUCCAGGUUCAGUUGGAACUUUGCAUGGUGAGGAAAGCACCAAUCCUGUGGAUACAGCCUACUCCAUUGACUUUAGAUUGAAUCAGGACAGGAAGUGCUGCUACAUUUAAAAGAUUUUUCGAAUUUACCCCGGGAUUACUCCGUUGGGUUGAACAAAUUGAUGCAGACCAAUGCAAUCCGAAGAAUUGGGAAAUUAAGCUAAACUGGUCCGAAAAUGUCUAAGCAACUUGCUUGUCAGAACUGUGACGUGAAGUUUAACACCAUUCGCAGCUUGAAGCUACAUGUCAGCGGAAUAAAACAUCGAAAGAAAGUGGCAGAGCUGUUCCAGUCAGAUGAGUACCAUGGCCGAGUCUACGUCCCAUUCAUCUUGGUUCUGGGACAUUUGACCAAACAACCCAUGAGCACCCCACAGCCUAUUGUUGGUCUGUGCCUGGUCACAAUUUGUUUGAGUUCAGAGAGGAGUGAUGCGUUCUACCUGUGUCAUGUGUGUGAGGAGAACUGUGGCCAAGGAAAUAUCAUAGACCAUCUGACUUCUGCCGACCAUCUCUCCAACUACUACAACUACACAGACCCGGAUUUGUUGAGUUUCUCCUGGUUGACUGGCUCGAACAAUUCGAAUCAUCUACAGGUGCUCGCUGCCAAAGAUCUGGACCGGAAUGGACCCGGGGUGCUGCGGAUGCUGGACAUGCCUAAGAGUAUGGUUUUGGAUUUGAAGAAGAUUGGCUACUCUAAAGUGAUGCAGGCUCUAACUCAGUCUGAGAGGCUGGAGAAGUGCGUCAGAGCUGGUAGACCGGAGAGGAGGACAAUACAAGAUUACCACAGAGACUCCAGAAGGAAGCAUCCUCUGCUGGGUUUACAGCACCUGGUGGAGUACUGCUGUGAGGGGUGUGACCAGAAGAAAUCCUACCUGUGCCAACUGUGUCAACUCUACAUCCCAUUACAUAGAGUCAUCAAACACACACUGAGCUUUGACCAUAUCUACUGGUACUUUAAAGCGUGGCAUCCCUCCACCCUCCUGACGAAGGACUGUUAUAAGGCCUACAGCGACCGGUUCAAGUCCAUCAUGCUGGACCUGGCCAAUCAGGCACAAGACAUCAGCCGGUCCGCCAAUAACGAGAUACAGCGUGUUGUGUUGGAACCAGAAGUGUUCGCCUCCGUGCCGUCUGUCUAUAGAGAAGCCCUGAGGAAGUUGGAGACCAUUAGAGAGGAGCGUAAUGAGGGCUGUUUGAAGACCAGCGUGACUCCUGGAGACAAAUUGGUUCCUUUUUUAAACAGGUCAAAGGUUAUCAAAGAUACCACAAGAACUGUUGCCGAGGCUGUUGAUUUGGAGGAAGAGUUGAGCCCAGAGAUGUCCUCCAUUCCUCGAGCUGUUGAAAAGCCUAGAGAAGCUACAGCUGCUCCAGGUUUGACCGCAGCUAGUGGCCAAAAAGGUGUUUGCCGUUUGCUCUGUCAGAAUUGCAACGAGGUAUAUGCUUUGGUGUCGCUCUUCAAGUUACAUGUACGCAGCUGGAAACAUCAGAUGAUGCUGGGUGACGGGCCAGGCCACCUACCAUCCUUUACUUUGUACGAGUACAUGCGGAACCCAGGGCGAACUGAACCAAUUAUUGGUGUCCAUCUGAUCUCGACGUGUCUGAAUUCAGAGUGUGUGGACAUACCGGUGUGCCUGUGUCACAUCUGUCAUGAGUGUUUCACGGCAAUUUCUAUCUUGUCUCACCUCACCUCUGCUUCCCACCUCCAACAGACCCUGAUGUACCAGAGUCCAGAGCGUCUGCCGUUUGGCUGGAAACCAGAAAUUGACCGGAAGGUCUUGAACACCCUGGCCUGGGAAGAGGAGACCGACAGAGGAGAGAAGGACAUGAUCCUGAAGGUGUUCUUUUGUCCUGACAUUGUUUUCUCCAACAUUAAGACAUUGCACUACCUCACUGCCAUUAAGUGUCUCAAAGACUUUCAUGGUUAUUAUUUUGUUGACAAACCACUGACAAUUUGGACCCAUCUGAAAAACACAAAAAGGACAUUUCCUCUGCUGGGUUUGCAGUUCCUGGUUCAAUACAGCAUUACAAGGCCCAGGGACUCGUUUCCAAGAUGGGGGUACCUGUGUCUUCUGUGUGAGGAGAAGUUGUCAGACAGGCUCAGCGUGGCUCACAUGCACAGCAACACUCAUGUCACUAUGUUCCUGAAACGUGCACAUCCCGGUUCUCUGGAAGAGGUGAAGUGGCAUGAUGAAAGGAGGAGUGAAGUAUUGCUCGACCUGGCACAACAGGCUGAGACAAUACACACUCCCAGCCGUGUACAGGUCAUAAAAUUGGAACGCUGCAUUGCUGAAUCAGUCAUGUACACAAAAGCCCUGGCGAUCCUGAAGUCAGUCAAUAAGAGAGGAUUCAGACUGCAGAUUCCUCUGCUACCACGUGGGAAAAAACUGGUGCCCUUCGGGGGAAUACAAGACCAAAGCCGGACCACAGAACCUGUUCCUGUACGUCUGUAUGUUGGAGAGGAUAAUGAGACCAGGAACAAAAAUGACAAUGAGAUAAAGAACUACAAAGAGACCACCCCAGAUACUGUAAACAUGACUCACAAGACUGGGAUGGAGGUGGAAAAACAAAUUGGCAAAAAACCCUGCACUGACUCCGGUAGAAAGACUGGAGAAGAACCCUGCUGUGGGCCCGGUCCAAAGGCUGGCAAAGAACCCUGCAGCAGCCCCGGGGCAAAGACGGGCAAAGAACCCUGCAGCGGCCCCGGGGCAAAGACGGGCAAAGAACCCUGCAGCGGCCCCGGGGCAAAGACGGGCAAAGAACCCUGCAGCGGCCCCGGGGCAAAGGCGGGCAAAGAACCCUGCAGCGGCCCCGGGGCAAAGGCGGGCAAAGAACCCUGCAGCGGCCCCGGUCCAAAGGCGGGCAAGGAACCCUGCAGCGGCCCCGGGGCAAAGACGGGCAAAGAACCCUGCAGCGGCCCCGGGGCAAAGACGGGCAAAGAACCCUGCAGCGGCCCCGGGGCAAAGACGGGCAAAGAACCCUGCAGCGGCCCCGGGGCAAAGACGGGCAAAGAACCCUGCAGCGGCCCCGGGGCAAAGACGGGCAAAGAACCCUGCAGCGGCCCCGGGGCAAAGACGGGCAAAGAACCCUGCAGCGGCCCCGGGGCAAAGACGGGCAAAGAACCCUGCAGCGGCCCCGGGGCAAAGACGGGCAAAGAACCCUGCAGCGGCCCCGGGGCAAAGACGGGCAAAGAACCCUGCAGCGGCCCCGGGGCAAAGACGGGCAAAGAACCCUGCAGCGGCCCCGGGGCAAAGACGGGCAAAGAACCCUAUAUUGAUCCCUGUCCAAAGAUUGACGACGAACCCUGCAGCGACCCCGGGGCAAAGUCCGGCAAAGAACCCUGCAGCGACCCCGGGGCAAAGGCGGGUAAAGAACCCUGCAGCGACCCCGGGGCAAAGGCGGGUAAAGAACCCUGCAGCGACCCCGGGGCAAAGGCGGGUAAAGAACCCUGCAGCGACCCCGGGGCAGAGUCCGGUAAAGAACCCUGCAGCGACCCCGGGGCAGAGUCCGGUAAAGAACCCUGCAGCGACCCCGGGGCAGAGUCCGGUAAAGAACCCUGCAGCGACCCCGGGGCAGAGUCCGGUAAAGAACCCUGCAGCGACCCCGGGGCAGAGUCCGGCAAAGAACCCUGCAGCGACCCCGGGGAAAAGACGGGUAAAGAACCCUGCAGCGACCCCGGGGCAAAGAAUGAGACUCCACAACCCAGCAAUCCUAUAUACACUCCACUGAUUGAUUUUCUGAGGAGCAAGAACCGACAGGCAGUCGGUCUUAAAGCACUCAUAGAGUGUCAUUGUGAUGGGCUGCCGCUCUUCUACCUGUGCCAGGUGUGUAAGUGUAAAGUCCUGCAGAACUCGAUUAUCUCCCAUGUCACUGGAGACAAUCACCGACAAUUAUCCCUGUGGCCUAUGAAUACUAUUCCCAAACGCCACAGGAGGUUGAGGGCAGCUGCCUUAAAGCUGGAGAAGACCUUGGGAUAUGGAGAAUUUAAGGUAGCAGUGUUGAAUGCGCGAACAUAUCAUUCUAUUUCUACUAAUUCCAUUCCCUUCGACAUGAAGGUAAAGAUGGUCUUGUGUGAUCACUAUUCAAGUGACCCCCGAUAUUUCGUCAUGCCUCUAGCUAAGAAGCCUAAGCCCAAGCUGAAGAAAAACAGUAAUGUCAAAACUCUGGCCCUAGACUGCAAUGACGUGUGUUCUCCCGCAGCACCCGCUGGGAGAUUCCCUGCUCUGUGGCGCUACCUGCAGCAGUCCAACAGACAGCCUGUCAUUGGUGUUGGUAUGUUGACAGAGUUGACCGAACGAGAUGGUGACUACGUCCUGUGUGGAUGCUGUUCUCACAAGAUGUUUCCAUCCUCUGUCACCUCACACGUCAUCUCUUCCAGACACCGCUACUACUACAUAAGAAUGGCACAUCCUGAGCUGGCUGUUAAUUGGCCAGAAAGUCCAGCGCUGAUUGUGUAUAAUGGGCCUCUUCAAAGAGAGCUGAGAGUGCAAGCUAAAGAACUGGAGGGUCAGGAAGGACCUGAACAUCCCCAGGUGGUGAAAGAAACAUCUGCUACAUCGGGAGGUGGACCCACAACCUGCCCAGAAGAGGUUGUCGAACAGAUCCAGAUUCACUCCGCUCCUGUCUCUGUGGAAGAGGAACCGGUUAACUCAGAGCCAUCACAGCCCCUCGGAGAAAAGAAAAAGACGAGGAAUAGGGGCAAUCCUGUGGUUGGAGUGAACUUCCUGGUCCGGGUGUCUCACAGAAAUAGGAAACAAUACUACUGUCAGCUGUGCUCCGUUAGGGUGAAGCAUCCCGUUAUUGAUCACAUGACCAGCCUCCGCCAUCGACACAGCUAUGUGAAAUUGAAGUACCCCAGUUGGACCUCCGACUCAGAGGCAAAGCUGUUCAAGAUGGCUUUUCACCUGGAGAAGGUGGAUCGAAGCGCUGGACUGGGCAUGCAGAAAGUAGAAGUGGAUGCUGUUGAAUUCAAGGAUCUAAGGUCUUGCCCUGUGGAGGAAGCUCUCAGUAAACUGCAGGCCAUUAUCAUACAGCAACAAGAGCCAGGUGAUCUGAAGAUGCAUCCCUCAACCAAUCAGAACCCAGAAGAUCUGAGACAGACUGCUCCCUCAUUGAGACCUGUCAGUGCCCAAGGGCCAUCUAACGGAGACCAGGAACACCUACAAGUACCUGCCUCCUCUCUCCAGGAUCAGCCGUCCUUUGGCUCCACAUCUGUCCCCCUCUCAUCCUCCAGUCCUCCUUGCCUCUCUCCCUCAAACUCCUUCUCUGCCUCUCUCCCCGCAGUGUCCCUAUCUGCCUCAACCUCCCUUUCUUCCUUUGUUCCAUCCUACACUCCCGUUUUGUCCACUGAGAAGACGACUGACCCCUCAUCAGAUGUUGUCUCUGUCCCCGAUCCUGUCUGUGAUCCUGUCUCUGUCCCUUCACCCCUCUCCGCUCUAAAGAACCCAACACAUCUGAAGGACUGCGAGAGUCCAGAGUGGUGGGAGAGGAGGAGCCCAGAAAACAGAGAGACACUAAUGCUUCUGGAACUCCCAGACAAACAGACGGAGUACGCGGCGGGAGACCGGCUGACGGAGUACGCGGCGGGAGACCGGCUGACGGAGUACGCGGCGGGAGACCGGCUGACGGAGUACGCGGCGGGAGACCGGCUGACGGAGUACGCGGCGGGAGACCGGCUGACGGAGUACGCGGCGGGAGACCGGCUGACGGAGUACGCGGCGGGAGACCGGCUGACGGAGUACGCGGCGGGAGACCGGCUGACGGAGUACGCGGCGGGAGACCGGCUGACGGAGUACGCGGCGGGAGACCGGCUGACGGAGUACGCGGCGGGAGACCGGCUGACGGAGUACGCGGCGGGAGACCGGCUGACGGAGUACGCGGCGGGAGACCGGCUGACGGAGUACGCGGCGGGAGACCGGCUGACGGAGUACGCGGCGGGAGACCGGCUGACGGAGUACGCGGCGGGAGACCGGCUGACGGAGUACGCGGCGGGGUGGACGCAGGCGGAAUACCCGGCGGGGUGGACCCAGGCGGAAUACCCGGCGAGGUGGACCCAGGCGGAAUACCCGGCGAGGUGGACCCAGGCGGAAUACCCGGCGAGGUGGACCCAGGCGGAAUACCCGGCGAGAGAGAGACUGGCGGAAUACCAGGCCACUCCUUGGGAAGGCUUACAUCAGUUUACAGAGCACAUGGGGACAGGAAAGGUGACCGACCAAGAACAGACACGUCAGGUUGGAACCUCACAGCUGGAGCCUUCGCCGUUAAGAUGGCUCAGUGUUCCCCAGGUGUUUCUGCACCCGGACACUCCGGCAGCUAAGAGAAUUGCCGGACCGAGCCAUCUGUCCAAGUACCUUAAAGUGAAGGGCCUUCACGACACCGAGCCUAUUAUAGGUCUUGGUAGUGUGUUGGAGUGUCGAGGUAUAUCUCAAGCUACAUUCUUCAUGUGCGUGACCUGUGCUGAGACUUUCUCCAGCACGCACAUCUGUGAACACAUCAUCAGUGCACGGCACCAGCAGUACUACAUGAUUGCCCAGUAUGGUGGUGUCCUCUACGAGUGGCUGAGGGAACUACAGCUGCCCCCGAGUCCACACCUCCUCAGGGAGUUCGCCUGGAGACUGUCACAACUGGAGGUGGAGAUCGACGCACAGGUGAUGCUGCUGGACCCCAUGUGGUAUAAACAUGUGCAGUCAGCUCCGUUUUACCGAGCCAUGCAAUUGCUGCAGGAACAGAACCAGAGCGCCUUGGUUAUGCACACUGCAACCAGACAACAGCUUUCUCUCCCAGCUGAUCCUGACCUGGAAACGGAGCAGGGCUUUGACCAGAGAUACAGGAAAAUGAAUGAACUAACCAUGGAUCAAACUGCGCCUGGUCAUUCCCUGUGGACAUCAGAUACAGGGACUGUUAAACAGCCUGAAGACCUGUUUGAGUCAGUCCAGAGCCUGCAGACGGCAGAAGAAUGGACCAAUACUCUGAACCCAGAUCUGCCUCAGAUCAGCCAAAGAUCAGAAAGGGAAGAGCAUUUUGUGCCAGUCGGAGCCCAGGCACCCCGGAACUCUGAGCCAGUCGGAGCCCAGGCACCCCGGAACUCUGAGCCAGUCGGAGCCCAGGCACCCCGGAACUCUGAGCCAGUCGGAGCCCAGGCACCCCGGAACUCUGAGCCAGUCGGAGCCCAGGCACCCCGGAACUCUGAGCCAGUCGGAGCCCAGGCACCCCGGAACUCUGAGCCAAUGUCAACACAGAACCAUGAACCAGUCGGAGCCCAGACACCCCGGAACUCUGAGCCAAUGUCAACACAGAACCAUGAACCAGUCGGAGCCCAGACACCCCGGAACUCUGAGCCAAUGUCAACACCGACACACCAGAGCUCAGAGCCAGUCGGAGCCCAGGCCCUCCAGAACUAUGAGCCAGUCGGGGCCCAGGCCCUCCAGAACUAUGAGCCAGUCGGGGCCCAGGCCCUCCAGAACUAUGAGCCAGUCGGGGCCCAGGCCCUCCAGAACUAUGAGCCAGUCGGGGCCCAGGCCCUCCAGAACUAUGAGCCAGUCGGGGCCCAGGCCCUCCAGAACUAUGAGCCAGUCGGGGCCCAGGCCCUCCAGAACUAUGAGCCAGUCGGGGCCCAGGCCCUCCAGAACUAUGAGCCAGUCGGGGCCCAGGCCCUCCAGAACUAUGAGCCAGUCGGGGCCCAGGCCCUCCAGAACUAUGAGCCAGUCGGGGCCCAGGCCCUCCAGAACUCUGAGCCAGUCGGGGCCCAGGCCCUCCAGAACUCUGAGCCAGUCGGGGCCCAGGCCCUCCAGAACUCUGAGCCAAUAAGUACCAGAACUCCACAGAAAACAAAAUCAACCAAAACAGAGACACCAGUGACUUCCUCAGAACCACAUCUGAACCAACACAACACAGUCAUUAUCAAACAGGAGCUUGCGGACCCCGAGGUGGAACCCCAGACCCAGCCUGAGGUGGAUUCUGUACACCGGCCUGAGGUCCAACUGGCUCCUGCAUGUUUGGGAUCCCUGUAUGAAGGUAGAUUUCCCAUUCUCCCAGGACACAGCCAGAGGUUGACAUGUAGAGGAGGUGUUCCUCCCAAAAGCACCAAAGACCUCAACACCUACAUCAAGGAGAAACUGACUCAAGCUGUGGUCGGUCUCAGUGCGUUGAUAGAGUGCUGCUGUGAGGGCCUGGUGUCCUUCUACCUGUGUGUGUCGUGCGGUGGUCGACUGUCUUGUAACAGCCGACAGAACACGUCUGUCCUCAUCAACCACGUCCUCAAAUACAGGCACCGACUCAACUAUCUGACUGUUCGAUAUCCGUGGUAUUUCCAUGGUCUGGUACCUGGCCAGAAUCCGGCAGAAGAGUCCAGACUUCUGAUGCAGAUUGCUAAGGAGGUAGAGGAGCAGAACCAUGAUGAGCCUGGCAUGAUACAGGAGGUGCUCCUGAACCAGGCUGACUUUUUAGCGAUCAAAGGAAUGCUGUUUGAUAAAGCUGUGUCCCGUUUGAAGGAGAUCCGUUCAGAGCAGAACCAAACAGAACUUCUUACCAAGGUCACUAGCAAACUUGAACCAGUAGUGGUCAAGCAGGAGAUGGAGUGCCAGGUGGUGUCCCAUCAUGCCUUGGGGCAGUCUUCGUUGCCGCAGAGAUUGAAGCGCCAUUCUAGCAUCAAAGAGUCACCCGAGCAAGGGAAGAAACCGAAGGUGUCUAGUUCCCCUGAGUGUCAGGCCGUGAAAUCUGACCCUGCCUUUGACAGCUGUCCGUCGUCCUCUGAGGUCACUGAACCUUUUGACCCACCAUCAGGCAACCAGUCGUGCGCCGUCGAAACCUCAUCACUUGGCCACACUGACCCAGAACUGAAAAACACUCCUUCACAUACAGACUCUCAAUGUGAGCUGGAGGUCAGUCCACCCGGUAGCCCUGCUGACAAUCUGACUGUAUCCAAAAUGUUCUCAAGAAAGAAGCAGUCUCACUCGGUUUCCACCCGCGGCCACAAGCUCAGCAACAAACAUUUGGACAAGAAGGAUCCUGCUGACAGGGCUAAGGUCUCUCACGCACACAGCAAUGGCACACGCUCACACAGAGACCGCAGACACACUCACGCACACAGUCAUCACCAACACGCACGCAGUUGCAGUCGUACCAAACACACGCACAGUCUCAGUAAUGCCAAACACACUCGCGUGCGCACUGACCACGCAAGGACAGGCAAAGCCUGGCUCCGUGGCAGGACCCCAGAGAGACGCCGCAACAGAGAUCUUGCUGACCGACGUUCCGACCGCUCGCGCUCUCGUACCCCCCGCAGGAGACGUCGUUCUGUCCCCGGCUGCUCUCCGAAAGACCCGCCCACGGUUUGUCCCUUCAAGACCCACCAGGCCUCCACCUACUGCCUUUUCACUCACACCCCAUCCUAUCCCAGCAAAUCCACUUCGGCCCAGAGUCUGGCCCGGGAUGACCCCAGCCAACCGCCGUGCCCGUCUAAAGACCUGUCCAGCCAGUCCAGCCCGGCAGACAGGAGACCGUCCAAACCAACCACAGUGGUUAGGCCUCUCCAGGCCAAGGAGCAUCCACCAAACGACACCCCCGACAUGCCCCUCCACCCAGCGAGAACUGGACCCUGGACCCCACCGCCCCUGCCAGCCACCCCUACCCUCCUACCUCCCCCGCCCGAGCAAGAUCUCCUUUCUGCCUCUGGGAAUAAUAUGGCCUCCACUGUGGACGGUAUUAUGUUUAUUGGGGACUCUUCGCUGCGCUUCCCCCACUUGCCUGCUUCGACCACCCUGCCAAGGGCAGUGGGAGGUGGGGCUGAUUCCUGGACCAAGGGCCCUAUCGCUGGCAAGGAGAUGCCCGCCGAGGCGAUGGGGGUGGACUCAAAGGGCCGUGCUAUUGGCACGGUGGCAAUACCGGCCAACCCUCUGAAGAGGAAUCUUUCCGCGCCGGAACCAAAGGACCGAGAUCCCUGGAGCUAUGAGAACCGACAGUUCAUCACCAACCCCAGCAUCCAGGCUUCUAACCCCACUGCCAUUGCCUCACAGGCCCAGUGGGGCUACGCCGGAGGGUUGUCGGUUGGUCAGUUCACCUCUAACCCCGGCAGCUCUGCCCCUUGCCCCGGAGGCCGACUCUCCCUGGAGGGAUACCCUGUAGCCACCUACCCUGGUACGGGUUACCCAGGGGUGGGUGGGUUCACUUCCAGCUCCCCCACUGACCUCGGACCCAGUAACACACAGUCACAGCCCGGGUGGUCAGGGGGCUACUGGGGAACAGGCUACCAAGCUACGAGUCAACCGGAGACUGGCUACGUGUUGGCCAAUCAGGCUGGUCUUUCCUACCCCGGAGGUUUUUCUGGAAGUGAAGGGAGCUACCCCGGACAUCAGGUCUACCCAGGGGUAUUCUAUUCGGACACGGACUACCGUGGGCGUGCCUUCCCCGGGUCGGGUACUGGACUGGGUUCUGCUGGGGUGCCCCCCAGCAGCCACUACUCAACCAAACCACCGCUUCCGGCUGUUGGCUGCUGGGAAUUUGCCUCUCCAGCGGUGGGGAGUUGCCAGAGCUACUCCACCUGGACAGCAAAUGUCACCAGGGUUGCCAUGGAAACCAACACUGCUGGUAUUACUGUUGGGACCCCAACCCAGCUUGUCGGUCAAACCUGGGACCCCCGUGAGUGGAUGCCACCCCCUCAGUGAGCAUUGCCAGUGUGGAUGUCAAAGUGAGUGUUUGAACAGGGAAUGGAGGAUGUUGAGAAUGUCUAGAGGAAUGUGACCAGUUGAGAGGUGAAGAGUCGUCCCUGGACCUGGAAGGCAAUUGUUAUCUCACACAGGCACUGAAGAAAACAAUGUUAAAAUAAAGAGAUUGUAUUUGUUUACCAAUGUCUGAGUUGAAAUGAACACUUGGUUUUUCGUCCAUUUUCUAGUUCUGACAUGUAGCUAGUAGUGUUGGCCUUAUCGACCUCUGGAUGUUGUUCUGUGACCACAGAUUUUUUAUUUUUUUUAUUUUUUUACUUUUCAAGAGACUAAUUUUAAUUGCAAAACAAGUGUUGCUACAAAUUUAUAGACAGCAUUUAAAUAAACCAUAAACAAUUCAGUUAAUGAUAGAAAUCUUGAAUUUGUAUUAUUUUGAAAUAAAAUGUUUUCUAUA